Molecule: transfer RNA, 73 nt
Filed under: Leucoagaricus sp. SymC.cos
Lineage: Eukaryota; Fungi; Basidiomycota; Agaricomycetes; Agaricales; Agaricaceae
Rfam family: tRNA
About the family: Transfer RNA (tRNA) molecules are approximately 80 nucleotides in length. Their secondary structure includes four short double-helical elements and three loops (D, anti-codon, and T loops).
Source: Rfam by way of RNAcentral
UCCUUCUUAGCUCAGUUGGUAGAGCGCGUCACUAGUAAUGACGAGGUCACUCGUUCGAGUCGGCUAGAAGGAA